AAAAGUAGUUUUCCCUUAAUCGGUAUCAUUAUCAAAAUACAGAAAUUGAUUAUUAAAGAAAGCAAGAGAAAUCAAGGAAAUAAGAUAUGCCUCAGCAGUGAAGACUGCUGACUAAGGUAAAAGGGAUCAUAGACUCCAGGAGAGUAUCGUACAAACGACACGCCUGGCUCAGUCUAACAAAGGGAGACACAGACCCCAGACGGUACCGAAUGAAAGGUGCAACUAGCAAGGUCUAAAAACAGAGAAUACAGACCCCAGAAAGUAUCAAAUGAAAGAUAUAGCUAGCAAGGUCCAAAACAGAGAAUACAGACCCCAGACAAUAUCAAAUGAAAGAUACAGCUAGUAAGGUCUAAAACA
This 357-nucleotide long non-coding RNA is filed under the name Lactuca sativa (garden lettuce). Its description in RNAcentral is "long non-coding RNA (LSAT_LNC007499)". Lineage: Eukaryota; Viridiplantae; Streptophyta; Magnoliopsida; Asterales; Asteraceae. The record is from RNAcentral.